CAUAUAAAUAAUGAUGUGGAUAUCUGUUCCUUCAAUUGCUGCUUUUGUGCAAACAGUUAAUUUGAAGUAAAUGCAAUAUACUAAUGAAAAUCUUUUAUUUAUCUUACAGGUGACUUAGUUACAAAUGUUUUCAAGGGACCCAACAAACAAAUACUUUGUCAACUGUCAAUGCUUGAAAGAAAAAUGGCUCAAGGUACCUUGGAAGCAAUAACUUGAGCGGGGAGCUACCCGCAAACAUCAUAACUAACACGCUUUUCUUAGAUAUCUCGUUCAAUCAAAUCUCUGGAACUAUACCUGCCAAUAAGUCAUAUAUUUCACUAAAUGCUGUUGGCACUUUGAUCACUAGCGAAAAAAGGUCACGUCCGCGCAGUGCUUGCUUGACGAAAAAUUCGGUGUGCACUAAGAAAGCUUUAUCAACUUCAUUUUCGAUCAAAUGUGGUGGAAAUCAAAUAGUAACUGUGGAUGGGUUUCAGUUUGAUGAUGAUUCGGAGAUGCUAAGCCCAGCGUCGUUCUACAUGAGCUCGAACAAGCAGUGGGCAGUGAGCAGUUCUGGAAUAUUCAUUAACAACCCGAAUGGACAGAACUAUACAGCUCAUUCGUUUUCUCAGAUCCCGAACACUUAGACUCUGAACUCUACAAAACAGUCCGGAUAUCCCCGAGCUCAUUGAGGUAUUAUGGUGUUGGGUUAAAGAAAGGCAUAUACCGAGUCGAGCUUCAUUUUGCUGAGAUACAAAUGGACGAUAUUAAGGACUCUUGGAAAGGCCUUGGGAGGCGCUAUUUCGACGUUUCCAUUCAGGUAU
Molecule: long non-coding RNA, 800 nt
Organism: Ipomoea nil (Japanese morning glory)
Lineage: Eukaryota; Viridiplantae; Streptophyta; Magnoliopsida; Solanales; Convolvulaceae
Exons: 7
Source: RefSeq, a predicted model, not a curated record